UUGGCGGACGGGUGAGAAAUGCAUCGGAACGUACCCAGUCGUGGGGGAUAGCCCGGGGAAACCCGGAUUAAUACCGCAUACGCCCUGAGGGGGAAAGUGGGGGACCGCAAGGCCUCACGCGAUUGGAGCGGCUGAUGUCGGAUUAGCUAGUUGGUGGGGUAAAGGCCUACCAAGGCGACGAUCCGUAGCUGGUCUGAGAGGAUGAUCAGCCACACUGGGACUGAGACACGGCCCAGACUCCUACGGGAGGCAGCAGUGGGGAAUUUUGGACAAUGGGGGCAACCCUGAUCCAGCCAUGCCGCGUGAGUGAAGAAGGCCUUCGGGUUGUAAAGCUCUUUCAGUUGGGAAGAAACGGGGUUCUCUAAUACAGGGCUCUAAUGACGGUACCGACAGAAGAAGCACCGGCUAACUACGUGCCAGCAGCCGCGGUAAU
RNAcentral lists this ribosomal RNA (433 nucleotides) under uncultured Azoarcus sp. Its description in RNAcentral is "bacterial SSU rRNA". It matches the Rfam family "Bacterial small subunit ribosomal RNA", at positions 95 to 524 of the family's 1533-position model. Lineage: Bacteria; Pseudomonadati; Pseudomonadota; Betaproteobacteria; Rhodocyclales; Zoogloeaceae. The record is from RNAcentral.